GAUGAACGCUGGCGGCGUGCCUAAUACAUGCAAGUCGAGCGAACAGACGAGGAGCUUGCUCCUCUGACGUUAGCGGCGGACGGGUGAGUAACACGUGGAUAACCUACCUAUAGGACUGGGACAACUUCGGGAAACCGGAGCUAAUACCGGAUAAUAUAUUGAACCGCAUGGUUCAAUAGUGAAAGACGGUUUUGCUGUCACUUAUAGAUGGAUCCGCGCCGCAUUAGCUAGUUGGUAAGGUAACGGCUUACCAAGGCAACGAUGCGUAGCCGACCUGAGAGGGUGAUCGGCCACACUGGAACUGAGACACGGUCCAGACUCCUACGGGAGGCAGCAGUAGGGAAUCUUCCGCAAUGGGCGAAAGCCUGACGGAGCAACGCCGCGUGAGUGAUGAAGGUCUUCGGAUCGUAAAACUCUGUUAUUAGGGAAGAACAAAUGUGUAAGUAACUAUGCACGUCUUGACGGUACCUAAUCAGAAAGCCACGGCUAACUACGUG
This 497-nucleotide ribosomal RNA is filed under the name uncultured bacterium. RNAcentral describes it as "partial 16S ribosomal RNA". It matches the Rfam family "Bacterial small subunit ribosomal RNA", at positions 28 to 507 of the family's 1533-position model. The record is from RNAcentral.